GACGAACGCUGGCGGCGUGCUUAACACAUGCAAGUCGAACGGAAAGGCCCCUUCGGGGGUACUCGAGUGGCGAACGGGUGAGUAACACGUGAGUAACCUGCCCUUGACUUCGGGAUAACUUCAGGAAACUGGGGCUAAUACCGGAUAGGAAUCCUUGCUGCAUGGUGGGGGUUGGAAAGCUUCGGCGGUUUUGGAUGGACUCGCGGCUUAUCAGCUUGUUGGUGGGGUAGUGGCUUACCAAGGCUUUGACGGGUAGCCGGCCUGGGAGGGCGACCGGCCACAUUGGGACUGAGAUACGGCCCAGACUCCUACGGGAGGCAGCAGUGGGGAAUAUUGCACAAUGGGCGGAAGCCUGAUGCAGCAACGCCGCGUGCGGGAUGACGGCCUUCGGGUUGUAAACCGCUUUCAGCAGGGGCGAAGCUUGUGGUGACGGUACCUGCAGAAGAAGCACCGGCUAACUACGUG
Molecule: ribosomal RNA, 465 nt
Filed under: uncultured bacterium
Lineage: Bacteria
Description: partial 16S ribosomal RNA
Rfam family: Bacterial small subunit ribosomal RNA
Source: RNAcentral